Molecule: ribosomal RNA, 1136 nt
Filed under: uncultured bacterium
Lineage: Bacteria
Description: bacterial SSU rRNA
Rfam family: Bacterial small subunit ribosomal RNA
Source: RNAcentral
CCUAAGUCGGAUUAGCUAGAUGGUGGGGUAAAGGCUUACCAUGGCGACGAUCUGUAGCUGGUCUGAGAGGAUGAUCAGCCACACCNGGGACUGAGACACGGCCCGGACUCCUACGGGAGGCAGCAGUGGGGAAUAUUGGACAAUGGGGGCAACCCUGAUCCAGCCAUGCCGCGUGUGUGAAGAAGGCCUUUUGGUUGUAAAGCACUUUAAGCAGUGAAGAAGACUCCGUGGUUAAUACCCACGGACGAUGACAUUAGCUGCAGAAUAAGCACCGGCUAACUCUGUGCCAGCAGCCGCGGUAAUACAGAGGGUGCAAGCGUUAAUCGGAAUUACUGGGCGUAAAGCGAGCGUAGGUGGCUUGAUAAGUCAGAUGUGAAAUCCCCGGGCUUAACCUGGGAACUGCAUCUGAUACUGUUAAGCUAGAGUAGGUGAGAGGGAAGUAGAAUNUCAGGUGUAGCGGUGAAAUGCGUAGAGAUCUGAAGGAAUACCGAUGGCGAAGGCAGCUUCCUGGCAUCAUACUGACACUGAGGCUCGAAAGCGUGGGUAGCAAACAGGAUUAGAUACCCUGGUAGUCCACGCCGUAAACGAUGUCUACUAGUCGUUGGGUCCCUUGAGGACUUAGUGACGCAGCUAACGCAAUAAGUAGACCGCCUGGGGAGUACGGCCGCAAGGUUAAAACUCAAAUGAAUUGACGGGGGCCCGCACAAGCGGUGGAGCAUGUGGUUUAAUUCGAUGCAACGCGAAGAACCUUACCUGGUCUUGACAUAUCUAGAAUCCUGCAGAGAUGCGGGAGUGCCUUCGGGAAUUAGAAUACAGGUGCUGCAUGGCUGUCGUCAGCUCGUGUCGUGAGAUGUUGGGUUAAGUCCCGCAACGAGCGCAACCCUUGUCCUUAGUUACCAGCGGGUUAAGCCGGGAACUCUAAGGAUACUGCCAGUGACAAACUGGAGGAAGGCGGGGACGACGUCAAGUCAUCAUGGCCCUUACGACCAGGGCUACACACGUGCUACAAUGGUAGGUACAGAGGGCAGCUACACAGCGAUGUGAUGCGAAUCUCAAAAAGCCUAUCGUAGUCCAGAUUGGAGUCUGCAACUCGACUCCAUGAAGUAGGAAUCGCUAGUAAUCGCGAUCAGAAGCCG